RNAcentral lists this ribosomal RNA (1539 nucleotides) under Escherichia coli. Its description in RNAcentral is "bacterial SSU rRNA". It matches the Rfam family "Bacterial small subunit ribosomal RNA". The record is from RNAcentral. Lineage: Bacteria; Pseudomonadati; Pseudomonadota; Gammaproteobacteria; Enterobacterales; Enterobacteriaceae.
AUUGAAGAGUUUGAUCAUGGCUCAGAUUGAACGCUGGCGGCAGGCCUAACACAUGCAAGUCGAACGGUAACAGGAAACAGCUUGCUGUUUCGCUGACGAGUGGCGGACGGGUGAGUAAUGUCUGGGAAACUGCCUGAUGGAGGGGGAUAACUACUGGAAACGGUAGCUAAUACCGCAUAACGUCGCAAGACCAAAGAGGGGGACCUUCGGGCCUCUUGCCAUCGGAUGUGCCCAGAUGGGAUUAGCUAGUAGGUGGGGUAACGGCUCACCUAGGCGACGAUCCCUAGCUGGUCUGAGAGGAUGACCAGCCACACUGGAACUGAGACACGGUCCAGACUCCUACGGGAGGCAGCAGUGGGGAAUAUUGCACAAUGGGCGCAAGCCUGAUGCAGCCAUGCCGCGUGUAUGAAGAAGGCCUUCGGGUUGUAAAGUACUUUCAGCGGGGAGGAAGGGAGUAAAGUUAAUACCUUUGCUCAUUGACGUUACCCGCAGAAGAAGCACCGGCUAACUCCGUGCCAGCAGCCGCGGUAAUACGGAGGGUGCAAGCGUUAAUCGGAAUUACUGGGCGUAAAGCGCACGCAGGCGGUUUGUUAAGUCAGAUGUGAAAUCCCCGGGCUCAACCUGGGAACUGCAUCUGAUACUGGCAAGCUUGAGUCUCGUAGAGGGGGGUGGAAUUCCAGGUGUAGCGGUGAAAUGCGUAGAGAUCUGGAGGAAUACCGGUGGCGAAGGCGGCCCCCUGGACGAAGACUGACGCUCAGGUGCGAAAGCGUGGGGAGCAAACAGGAUUAGAUACCCUGGUAGUCCACGCCGUAAACGAUGUCGACUUGGAGGUUGUGCCCUUGAGGCGUGGCUUCCGGAGCUAACGCGUUAAGUCGACCGCCUGGGGAGUACGGCCGCAAGGUUAAAACUCAAAUGAAUUGACGGGGGCCCGCACAAGCGGUGGAGCAUGUGGUUUAAUUCGAUGCAACGCGAAGAACCUUACCUGGUCUUGACAUCCACAGAACUUUCCAGAGAUGGAUUGGUGCCUUCGGGAACUGUGAGACAGGUGCUGCAUGGCUGUCGUCAGCUCGUGUUGUGAAAUGUUGGGUUAAGUCCCGCAACGAGCGCAACCCUUAUCCUUUGUUGCCAGCGGUCCGGCCGGGAACUCAAAGGAGACUGCCAGUGAUAAACUGGAGGAAGGUGGGGAUGACGUCAAGUCAUCAUGGCCCUUACGACCAGGGCUACACACGUGCUACAAUGGCGCAUACAAAGAGAAGCGACCUCGCGAGAGCAAGCGGACCUCAUAAAGUGCGUCGUAGUCCGGAUUGGAGUCUGCAACUCGACUCCAUGAAGUCGGAAUCGCUAGUAAUCGUGGAUCAGAAUGCCACGGUGAAUACGUUCCCGGGCCUUGUACACACCGCCCGUCACACCAUGGGAGUGGGUUGCAAAAGAAGUAGGUAGCUUAACCUUCGGGAGGGCGCUUACCACUUUGUGAUUCAUGACUGGGGUGAAGUCGUAACAAGGUAACCGUAGGGGAACCUGCGGUUGGAUCACCUCCUU